AGAGUUUGAUCCUGGCUCAGGACGAACGCUGGCGGUGUGCUUCACACAUGCAAGUCGAACGGAGUAGCAAUACUCAGUGGCGGACGGGUGAGUAACACGUGGGAAUCUACCAUUAGGUGGGGAAUAACAGGCCGAAAGGACUGCUAAUGCCGCAUAUGUAGGCAUCUCGACAGAGAUGUUUAUGAAAGGAGUAAUCCGCCUUUUGAUGAGCCCGCGUCCGAUUAGCUAGUUGGUAGGGUAAAAGCCUACCAAGGCGACGAUCGGUAGGUGGUCUGAGAGGAUGAUCACCCACAAUGGGACUGAGACACGGCCCAUACUCCUACGGGAGGCAGCAGUGGGGAAUUUUACGCAAUGGGGGAAACCCUGACGUAGCGACACCGCGUGAGCGAAGAAGCCCUUUGGGGUGUAAAGCUCUGUCAACAGGAACGAAACAAAUGACGGUACCUGUGGAGGAAGCAUCGGCUAACUACGUGCCAGCAGCCGCGGUAAGACGUAGGAUGCAAGCGUUGUCCGGAUUUAUUGGGCGUAAAGAGUUCGUAGGCGGUUUGUUAAAUCUGAUGUUAAAGACCGGGGCUCAACCUCGGAAAUGCAUUGGAUACUGGCAGACUGGAGUGCAGUAGAGGCUAGUGGAAUUCCCAGUGUAGCGGUGAAAUGCGUAG
This 659-nucleotide ribosomal RNA is filed under the name uncultured bacterium. Its description in RNAcentral is "bacterial SSU rRNA". It matches the Rfam family "Bacterial small subunit ribosomal RNA", at positions 8 to 693 of the family's 1533-position model. The record is from RNAcentral.